GCGGGUGUCGUAUAACGGCUAAUAUGCCUGCCUUCCAAGCAGGCGCUACCGGUUCGAUUCCGGUCACCCGCACCA
This 75-nucleotide transfer RNA is filed under the name Candidatus Nomurabacteria bacterium. RNAcentral describes it as "tRNA-Gly". It matches the Rfam family "tRNA". From Rfam's summary of the family: Transfer RNA (tRNA) molecules are approximately 80 nucleotides in length. Their secondary structure includes four short double-helical elements and three loops (D, anti-codon, and T loops). Lineage: Bacteria; Candidatus Nomuraibacteriota. The record is from RNAcentral.